AUUGAACGCUGGCGGCAGGCCUAACACAUGCAAGUCGGACGGUAGCACAGAGGAGCUUGCUCCUCGGGUGACGAGUGGCGGACGGGUGAGUAAUGUCUGGGGAUCUGCCCGAUAGAGGGGGAUAACCACUGGAAACGGUGGCUAAUACCGCAUAACGUCGCAAGACCAAAGAGGGGGACCUUCGGGCCUCUCACUAUCGGAUGAACCCAGAUGGGAUUAGCUAGUAGGCGGGGUAACGGCCCACCUAGGCGACGAUCCCUAGCUGGUCUGAGAGGAUGAUCAGUCACACUGGAACUGAGACACGGUCCAGACUCCUACGGGAGGCAGCAGUGGGGAAUAUUGGACAAUGGGCGAAAGCCUGAUCCAGCCAUGCCGCGUGUGUGAAGAAGGUCUUCGGAUUGUAAAGCACUUUAAGUUGGGAGGAAGGGCGUUUGGCUACUAUCCAGGCGUUUUGACGUUACCAACAGAAUAAGCACCGGCUAACUUCGUGCCAGCCGCCGCGGUAA
Molecule: ribosomal RNA, 506 nt
Filed under: uncultured bacterium
Lineage: Bacteria
Description: partial 16S ribosomal RNA
Rfam family: Bacterial small subunit ribosomal RNA
Source: RNAcentral